UGGUAUGAAAGGUUUGACGAGAUAUUAACUGUUUCAUAAAAAUUUAUAGUAGAAUUUUAUUUUUUAGUCAAAAAGCUAAAAUGAAAUUAAAAGACGAGAAGACCCUAUAAAUCUUUAUACAUAGAUUAUUAGAAUUUUGUAGAUUUUUUUUAUUAUAAUAGUUAAUUGUAUUUUAUUGGGGUGAUAUUAAAAUUUAAUUAACUUUUAAUUUUUAAAGUCAUUAAUUUAUGAACAAUUGAUCCGUUAAUAACGAUUAAAAAAAUAAGUUACCUUAGGGAUAACAGCG
Molecule: ribosomal RNA, 286 nt
Filed under: Sarcophaga peregrina
Lineage: Eukaryota; Metazoa; Arthropoda; Insecta; Diptera; Sarcophagidae
Description: partial large subunit ribosomal RNA
Source: RNAcentral